UACAGAGGGGGCGAGCGUUAUUCGGAAUUAUUGGGCGUAAAGGGCGCGUAGGCGGCCCGGUAAGUCAAAGGUGAAAUCCCUCGGCUCAACUGAGGAACUGCCUUUGAAACUGUCGGGCUUGAGGCCGGGAGGGGGUAGCGGAAUUCCCAGUGUAGCGGUGAAAUGCGUAGAUAUUGGGAGGAACACCGGUGGCGAAGGCGGCUACCUGGACCGGUUCUGACGCUGAUGCGCGAAAGCGUGGGUAGCAAACAGG
RNAcentral lists this ribosomal RNA (253 nucleotides) under uncultured bacterium. Its description in RNAcentral is "partial 16S ribosomal RNA". It matches the Rfam family "Bacterial small subunit ribosomal RNA", at positions 524 to 776 of the family's 1533-position model. The record is from RNAcentral.